RNAcentral lists this ribosomal RNA (1528 nucleotides) under Klebsiella pneumoniae. Its description in RNAcentral is "bacterial SSU rRNA". It matches the Rfam family "Bacterial small subunit ribosomal RNA". The record is from RNAcentral. Lineage: Bacteria; Pseudomonadati; Pseudomonadota; Gammaproteobacteria; Enterobacterales; Enterobacteriaceae.
AGAGUUUGAUCAUGGCUCAGAUUGAACGCUGGCGGCAGGCCUAACACAUGCAAGUCGAGCGGUAGCACAGAGAGCUUGCUCUCGGGUGACGAGCGGCGGACGGGUGAGUAAUGUCUGGGAAACUGCCUGAUGGAGGGGGAUAACUACUGGAAACGGUAGCUAAUACCGCAUAACGUCGCAAGACCAAAGUGGGGGACCUUCGGGCCUCAUGCCAUCAGAUGUGCCCAGAUGGGAUUAGCUUGUAGGUGGGGUAACGGCUCACCUAGGCGACGAUCCCUAGCUGGUCUGAGAGGAUGACCAGCCACACUGGAACUGAGACACGGUCCAGACUCCUACGGGAGGCAGCAGUGGGGAAUAUUGCACAAUGGGCGCAAGCCUGAUGCAGCCAUGCCGCGUGUGUGAAGAAGGCCUUCGGGUUGUAAAGCACUUUCAGCGGGGAGGAAGGCGUUAAGGUUAAUAACCUUGGCGAUUGACGUUACCCGCAGAAGAAGCACCGGCUAACUCCGUGCCAGCAGCCGCGGUAAUACGGAGGGUGCAAGCGUUAAUCGGAAUUACUGGGCGUAAAGCGCACGCAGGCGGUCUGUCAAGUCGGAUGUGAAAUCCCCGGGCUCAACCUGGGAACUGCAUUCGAAACUGGCAGGCUAGAGUCUUGUAGAGGGGGGUAGAAUUCCAGGUGUAGCGGUGAAAUGCGUAGAGAUCUGGAGGAAUACCGGUGGCGAAGGCGGCCCCCUGGACAAAGACUGACGCUCAGGUGCGAAAGCGUGGGGAGCAAACAGGAUUAGAUACCCUGGUAGUCCACGCCGUAAACGAUGUCGAUUUGGAGGUUGUGCCCUUGAGGCGUGGCUUCCGGAGCUAACGCGUUAAAUCGACCGCCUGGGGAGUACGGCCGCAAGGUUAAAACUCAAAUGAAUUGACGGGGGCCCGCACAAGCGGUGGAGCAUGUGGUUUAAUUCGAUGCAACGCGAAGAACCUUACCUGGUCUUGACAUCCACAGAACUUUGCAGAGAUGGUUUGGUGCCUUCGGGAACUGUGAGACAGGUGCUGCAUGGCUGUCGUCAGCUCGUGUUGUGAAAUGUUGGGUUAAGUCCCGCAACGAGCGCAACCCUUAUCCUUUGUUGCCAGCGGUCCGGCCGGGAACUCAAAGGAGACUGCCAGUGAUAAACUGGAGGAAGGUGGGGAUGACGUCAAGUCAUCAUGGCCCUUACGACCAGGGCUACACACGUGCUACAAUGGCAUAUACAAAGAGAAGCGACCUCGCGAGAGCAAGCGGACCUCAUAAAGUAUGUCGUAGUCCGGAUUGGAGUCUGCAACUCGACUCCAUGAAGUCGGAAUCGCUAGUAAUCGUAGAUCAGAAUGCUACGGUGAAUACGUUCCCGGGCCUUGUACACACCGCCCGUCACACCAUGGGAGUGGGUUGCAAAAGAAGUAGGUAGCUUAACCUUCGGGAGGGCGCUUACCACUUUGUGAUUCAUGACUGGGGUGAAGUCGUAACAAGGUAACCGUAGGGGAACCUGCGGUUGGAUCACCU